RNAcentral lists this ribosomal RNA (528 nucleotides) under uncultured bacterium. Its description in RNAcentral is "bacterial LSU rRNA". It matches the Rfam family "Bacterial large subunit ribosomal RNA", at positions 591 to 1121 of the family's 2925-position model. The record is from RNAcentral.
GGGUGACUGCGUACCUUUUGUAUAAUGGGUCAACGACUUAGUGUAACAAGCAAGCUUAAGCCGGUAGGUGUAGGCGCAGCGAAAGCGAGUCUGAAUAGGGCGAUAUAGUUUGUUGCAUUAGACCCGAAACCAGGUGAUCUAGCCAUGAGCAGGUUGAAGGUUGGGUAACACCAACUGGAGGACCGAACCCGCAUCUGUUGCAAUAGAUUGGGAUGACUUGUGGUUAGGGGUGAAAGGCCAAUCAAACCUGGAGAUAGCUGGUUCUCCGCGAAAUCUAUUUAGGUAGAGCGUCGACCGAAUACCCUGGGGGGUAGAGCACUGGAUGGGCUAUGGGGACUCACCGUCUUACUGAUCCUAACCAAACUCCGAAUACCCAGGAGUACUAGUCGGCAGACACACGGCGGGUGCUAACGUCCGUCGUGAAAAGGGCAACAACCCUAAUCUCCAGCUAAGGUCCCCAAGUCAUGGCUAAGUGGGAAAGAUGUGAGACUCCCAAAACACCAGGAUGUGGCUUAGAAGCAGCCAUCA